CACGGGGGGGGUAAGCGUUGUUCGGAAUUACUGGGCGUAAAGGGCUCGUAGGCGGCCAACUAAGUCGGACGUGAAAUCCCUCAGCUUAACUGGGGAACUGCGUCCGAUACUGGAUGGCUUGGAUUUGGGAGAGGGAUGCGGAAUUCCAGGUGUAGCGGUGAAAUGCGUAGAUAUCUGGAGGAACACCGGUGGCGAAGGCGGCAUCCUGGACCAAUAUUGACGCUGAGGAGCGAAAGCCAGGGGAGCAAACGGG
RNAcentral lists this ribosomal RNA (253 nucleotides) under uncultured bacterium. Its description in RNAcentral is "partial 16S ribosomal RNA". It matches the Rfam family "Bacterial small subunit ribosomal RNA", at positions 524 to 776 of the family's 1533-position model. The record is from RNAcentral.